UUAAAGAUACUCGCGCGUUGAACGCCCACAAAGCAUUGCGCGCCGCACCCACAAGCAUGGGCCGGGGUGAGACUCCCGUGG
The sequence is a regulatory RNA element, 81 nucleotides long. It matches the Rfam family "pemK RNA". The record is from Rfam.